This 1241-nucleotide long non-coding RNA is filed under the name Anser brachyrhynchus (Pink-footed goose). RNAcentral describes it as "lncRNA (ENSABRG00000013772.1)". Lineage: Eukaryota; Metazoa; Chordata; Aves; Anseriformes; Anatidae. The record is from RNAcentral.
UGGAGGGUAAGCAACUCUUUUGGGUGAACAACUCUCCUGGUGAUUAAGUUUGUCUUCCAACCAUGGAGAAAUCCAGACUGACCAGUGGUUUUAAGAAGUGGAAGUCUCAGUAUCUACCUACACAGGCUUUCUUCCGUUCAGCUUCUCCCAUGCAAGGUAAAGAAUUGAUUAAUUUCUAAAAUCAAUGCUAAAGCAACGACAGCAACCAAUAAAUAUGUUAUGGAGACAUCUAGCUCAUCCGUGCCAUUGUGCACCUCUAGUUUCCCUUCUGCAAUUUGAAUGAAGGGAGGUGCCUAGAGCAGGAAGUCAGGGGUUCCUGGUGGAGAUGUAUGUGGCUCUGCAAAGAUCUUCUCUCAUUGAACAUCUUCCUUAGUGCUUCAAGAGCACUGCUGUGUCCACAGUGGCUGCAUGACCUUCAUUUUCACGGUGAUUCCUUUGGUUGUGUCAUUCCCUCAGUCCAAGACAUCCAAGGAGUUCCUGCAGCACGUUCUGAUAUGGAAAAGUAAUUGGACGGAAAUCUUUCUAUAAUUGUAACUGUUCUUAAUUCAACUCAUGCUUUGAGGAAAAAGUAAAGCCACAGUCUUUUUGUUUGUUGGUUGGUUUAAUGUUUUACUCUUGAGUAAUUUCUCUUGCUCUCACUUCUGCAUUGCUCUUCUGUGCAUGUUUCUCUGCUGCCUUCUCAUCCUGAUUGUGGCAGCAGAAAUGGAGGCAACAGCUUCAUGUGCUCUUCAGAUUAUCAAUAAUCCAGCUGCUUCCUGGUGCUUGAGAGCCACUGAUGUGACAUCCAUGCUCGAAGACACCCACACACUGUGUGGGCAGAACCCAUCCUUGGUGUCAACAGCCCUUUCAGGACACUGGCAUGAAGAACCUGGAGUGACCAUGGCCAAACAAAGGGAGACCACAGAGCUGGCCCUGACCUGUACGGUAGCUGUGGUGCACAGGCAAUAUGCUGGAUAUGCAACAGGCAAAAAGUGACUUAUGAAAUCUGCGUUACAAUACAGCUGGAUUAUGCCAACCUUUUGCUUAUGAAGGAGAGCUGAAUUUCAGUAGAGCUGUAGGAAGAGACUGUGGGAAUACAGGAUAUGGGACUUCAUACCUUGUUUGUGAUGACACCUAAAGUGGACAGGAUUUUUAGGUAGGCCUGCCUAGGAUCUUAUAGUGAACAUGACAGAAAUUUGUGAUAGUCUUUGAAACUCCAAAACCUGUACUGAGGGUAAACUAGCGUGGAUUCUGAAGAGAAA